GUGUGACUGCGUACCUUUUGUAUAAUGGGUCAGCGACUUAUAUUCUGUAGCAAGGUUAACCGAAUAGGGGAGCCGAAGGGAAACCGAGUCUUAACUGGGCGUUAAGUUGCAGGGUAUAGACCCGAAACCCGGUGAUCUAGCCAUGGGCAGGUUGAAGGUUGGGUAACACUAACUGGAGGACCGAACCGACUAAUGUUGAAAAAUUAGCGGAUGACUUGUGGCUGGGGGUGAAAGGCCAAUCAAACCGGGAGAUAGCUGGUUCUCCCCGAAAGCUAUUUAGGUAGCGCCUCGUGAAUUCAUCUCCGGGGGUAGAGCACUGUUUCGGCAAGGGGGUCAUCCCGACUUACCAACCCGAUGCAAACUGCGAAUACCGGAGAAUGUUAUCACGGGAGACACACGGCGGGUGCUAACGUCCGUCGUGAAGAGGGAAACAACCCAGACCGCCAGCUAAGGUCCCAAAGUCAUGGUUAAGUGGGAAACGAUGUGGGAAGGCCCAGACAGCCAGGAUGUUGGCUUAGAAGCAGCCAUCAUUUAAAGAAAGCGUAAUAGCUCACUGGUCGAGUCGGCCUGCGCGGAAGAUGUAACGGGGCUAAACCAUGCACCGAAGCUGCGGCAGCGACGCUGAUGCGUUGUUGGGUAGGGGAGCGUUCUGUAAGCCUGCGAAGGUGUGCUGUGAGGCAUGCUGGAGGUAUCAGAAGUGCGAAUGCUGACAUAAGUAACGAUAAAGCGGGUGAAAAGCCCGCUCGCCGGAAGACCAAGGGUUCCUGUCCAACGUUAAUCGGGGCAGGGUGAGUCGACCCCUAAGGCGAGGCCGAAAGGCGUAGUCGAUGGGAAACAGGUUAAUAUUCCUGUACUUGGUGUUACUGCGAAGGGGGGACGGAGAAGGCUAUGUUGGCCGGGCGACGGUUGUCCCGGUUUAAGCGUGUAGGCUGGUUUUCCAGGCAAAUCCGGAAAAUCAAGGCUGAGGCGUGAUGACGAGGCACUACGGUGCUGAAGCAACAAAUGCCCUGCUUCCAGGAAAAGCCUCUAAGCAUCAGGUAACAUCAAAUCGUACCCCAAACCGACACAGGUGGUCAGGUAGAGAAUACCAAGGCGCUUGAGAGAACUCGGGUGAAGGAACUAGGCAAAAUGGUGCCGUAACUUCGGGAGAAGGCACGCUGAUAUGUAGGUGAAGUCCCUCGCGGAUGGAGCUGAAAUCAGUCGAAGAUACCAGCUGGCUGCAACUGUUUAUUAAAAACACAGCACUGUGCAAACACGAAAGUGGACGUAUACGGUGUGACGCCUGCCCGGUGCCGGAAGGUUAAUUGAUGGGGUCAGCGCAAGCGAAGCUCUUGAUCGAAGCCCCGGUAAACGGCGGCCGUAACUAUAACGGUCCUAAGGUAGCGAAAUUCCUUGUCGGGUAAGUUCCGACCUGCACGAAUGGCGUAAUGAUGGCCAGGCUGUCUCCACCCGAGACUCAGUGAAAUUGAACUCGCUGUGAAGAUGCAGUGUACCCGCGGCAAGACGGAAAGACCCCGUGAACCUUUACUAUAGCUUGACACUGAACAUUGAGCCUUGAUGUGUAGGAUAGGUGGGAGGCUUUGAAGUGUGGACGCCAGUCUGCAUGGAGCCGACCUUGAAAUACCACCCUUUAAUGUUUGAUGUUCUAACGUUGACCCGUAAUCCGGGUUGCGGACAGUGUCUGGUGGGUAGUUUGACUGGGGCGGUCUCCUCCUAAAGAGUAACGGAGGAGCACGAAGGUUGGCUAAUCCUGGUCGGACAUCAGGAGGUUAGUGCAAUGGCAUAAGCCAGCUUGACUGCGAGCGUGACGGCGCGAGCAGGUGCGAAAGCAGGUCAUAGUGAUCCGGUGGUUCUGAAUGGAAGGGCCAUCGCUCAACGGAUAAAAGGUACUCCGGGGAUAACAGGCUGAUACCGCCCAAGAGUUCAUAUCGACGGCGGUGUUUGGCACCUCGAUGUCGGCUCAUCACAUCCUGGGGCUGAAGUAGGUCCCAAGGGUAUGGCUGUUCGCCAUUUAAAGUGGUACGCGAGCUGGGUUUAGAACGUCGUGAGACAGUUCGGUCCCUAUCUGCCGUGGGCGCUGGAGAACUGAGGGGGGCUGCUCCUAGUACGAGAGGACCGGAGUGGACGCAUCACUGGUGUUCGGGUUGUCAUGCCAAUGGCACUGCCCGGUAGCUAAAUGCGGAAGAGAUAAGUGCUGAAAGCAUCUAAGCACGAAACUUGCCCCGAGAUGAGUUCUCCCUGAC
This 2243-nucleotide ribosomal RNA is filed under the name Escherichia coli. RNAcentral's name for it is "partial 23S ribosomal RNA". It matches the Rfam family "Bacterial large subunit ribosomal RNA", at positions 591 to 2819 of the family's 2925-position model. The record is from RNAcentral. Lineage: Bacteria; Pseudomonadati; Pseudomonadota; Gammaproteobacteria; Enterobacterales; Enterobacteriaceae.